UUUCUCUUGGCAUUGAACUUGGGCUUCUCCUGCAUGAAUUGGGCUUUGUGGGGAGCAUUGGGUUUGUUAUUGUUAGUCAAAUUAACAGACCAUUGAUGGUUGUUAAUUUUGUUGAGAUUAUUCUUGGUAUUGUAUUAAAAGUUUUUGUUUCAAGGAACUUACGAGAAUUUGCAUCAAACAUUUUUACCUGAAUUCCUUGUGUUGAAUCGCCAUAAAUUCCUUGCACCUUUUGUCAUUCUGGUUUGGCCUUGCAUUGAUGGAUGGGACGGUUUCUUUCUCCUUGGGAAAGUUACCAUCUUCCAUUCAUCCUUUUCAUCCAGUUUAUUGCGUGCUUCAGAGCAUUCAAGUUGUUCCUAUGAAGGGGUUGGUGGUUUAGGCUUAUGUGCACAUGUUUUUAGGGUGUGCCCUAUCCUUCUACAUCUUUUACAUAAAAUUCCUUCUCCUUCAUAGAUUAUAGAUUGUUUAUGAUCACCGACAAUGAUUGAUGUUUCCAUUGGAGUUUCAAGAGGUACUUGAAUGCAAACACAUGCUCCCUCUCAAGGUAGAAGAUCACUACAAAAAAGGAGGAAAAUUGCAGAGAGUUACAUAUGGCGGUUCACCAAAACCGCCAUAAGACACCAUAUUGUGGGGCGGCUUUCAAUCCCCCAUGCCAGACAUUUGUAAAACAGCGAUUUAACUGUAUUUUACGGUGCUUUAAACCGCCACUGCUUAUAUUUUCAUUUUUAACAUAAUUUCUGGUUUAUUUCAAAUAUGCUAGACAUAUAAUACUCACAAAUAAACGAAUCCUAGAUCUAUGUAUUCUGCUUCUCCUUCCCACGAAAUCUUGCUCAAAUCUGGAUCAUUGACGCGGUGAAUCCCUCUCAUCUCCUCUCCUUUUCUAAUCUCUCAUUUCCAUCUCCUCUUCUUGCUAGGCUCGCAAAUAGUUCGCUAACCUCUAUCGUGCCAGGUACGAUUUUUUGUUGCUUGUUUCUUUUUAGAUUUUAUAUUUCUGGUGUUGUAAGGAACCAAUUUCUUAUGAUUGAAAUUUUUUAGAAGUCCUAUUGGUUUGGUUAGAACUUGUCCCUCAGUGUAGGGAUGGGAGUACCCUUAGUUGGACGUUCAAUGAUAUAAUAGCAGGGAAACGAAAAAUGUACAGAGGAUUGUAUAGUGGUUGUUACUAGUUUAGGAUCAAUGCAUAGUUGAUGAUUAAAUCAACAGUUGUGUGGUGCCGUAGUGUUUCAUGGUCAUUUAUAUCUCCUUAUGCGAGCUAUGAAAUUCUGCAUAGGCUAACCUUGCUAGCCAUUUCAGUGGAUUUUUUUGCAUAGGCUAACUUCACUAGUAUAUUCACUAAUCAAGGUUAAUACAUAGAUUCAAGGAGUAAUGUGGUUUUGCUGAUCAAUCAUGUACAUUAUCAAGCAUUCAAUUUGCAUUUCCUUAAGUCUAAGGUUAGUUUAUCUAAUUCCUUCUUUUUCAUGCUAUAUCUAUAUUAAGUAUGUGCGCAAAUCGAAUCUGUGGUGUCACGAAUUUAAUCUAUUGUUAUAAUUCUGCAAUUAGGAGAGUGGCAUAACUCCUCGAGCCCUAAGAUGGAAUAAGAUGACUUGAUCCCCACAAAGUGUUUGACAAUAUGCUUCACUGAAAACAUAAAUUUUUUUCAUCUCUGUGGGGAUUAGAUAAUGUUUGAAAAUAAUAUUAAAUGUUGAUCAUGAUCUUCGCAUUGAUUAAUUGUCAAGGAAUAUCAAUUUGGGUCUUGAUGAAAAGAAGAAUCAAGUGGUUUUCUCAUUUAACUUACCUAUCUGUGGGAUAAUGUUUUACUUGAUUUGAGGUGUUCUUUAUGAUUAAUAUCUAUGUUGUUGGUUGCUUAACUAUAAGUCUAGUCUGGAUUAGAAAUUUAGCGUGAAUUGAAGCUUGGUAGAAUUGGCAGGUAAUAUUGCGAAUGCAGCUCGGUUACAGUGUACGCAUUAAGGUUACACCGUGUCUUGCAGAGGCUUCGCGAGUCUCAUUGUGUUUUCGCUCGAAGGGUAAAUAUGUUCUCCUUACUCUUCUUUGCUUUCCUUUUUUGGUAUGUAUCCAACGUACUCGUCUUAAUCUUAAGUAUGCCUGGAUCUAGUUGGACUGGAUAGUUUCCUUUCAUUAAAUUAUUCUUUUAGGAUAAAUUAUUCUCUUGAUAUAUCUUACAUGAAAUUCUAAGACCUCUAUUUUUGGUUCUCUCAAAAUCAGAUAUUGGGGUAAGUUGUAACAAACUCUUUUUGAGGAGGCAACUAAAUGUCUUUUGUCAGAAGUAGGAUGGAGUAAUGUAAAGGGGUUAAGCAUGAUUAGCCUUUGGAAUCUGUUAUAAGUGCGAUCUCAUGAGACCCAACUAUGACUCAAAACUGAAAGUAUUCUUCCUGCUAUCCAAGGUGUUGAUGCUCUCAUUCCUUAGAGUGUUCUGUGCGGAUUAAAGUUCAGCAAUUGUAAAAAUGUACAUAUGAAGUUUUUUUUUUGCUUUUUUCUUCAAAUAAAUGCACUAUGAAGGUUCAUUCAGCAACAAAUUGAUCAUAAUCUCUCGCUUGAUGAGUAAGGGAGUUCUGUGAGAAAAUAUUGUCUCGUAUUUUGUAGUUGCACUGGAAAAAUAUUCAAUUGUUCUAUAAAUGCAUAAUAUAUUGGUUUGUAGCUUGAUCAUUUGAGUUACUUAUUUCUUGUUGUUUUAAUUUAUUUUGUAGGCACUGGAUAUGAGAAGUGGCAUCCUAUCACCUAACCACGUAAGAAGAUCACCAGAUAGAGAUAACAAUACAGAUCAUGCUUAUACUCCACUAUUGCUAGAAUUUAUUAUAGUUAUUUCCUUUUGUUAUGAUGAGUGGAUGUAAAAUGUUGCUCCUUGAAAUUUUAAUACAUUUUAUGAUGUAAUUUGGAAUUGCUUAUUCUGUUUAUAUACUCCUAUAUAUUAUGAAUGAGUCUUUAGUUAAUUAAUCUUUCUUUUAUAUGUAUCAAAACUUUAUAAAGUAAUACACAACUUUUAAUGCGUUGGGCAGAG
Molecule: long non-coding RNA, 2989 nt
Filed under: Nicotiana tabacum (common tobacco)
Lineage: Eukaryota; Viridiplantae; Streptophyta; Magnoliopsida; Solanales; Solanaceae
Description: long non-coding RNA (NTAB_LNC000877)
Source: RNAcentral